UGGGGAAUUUUGGACAAUGGGGGCAACCCUGAUCCAGCCAUGCCGCGUGAGUGAAGAAGGCCUUCGGGUUGUAAAGCUCUUUUGUCUGGGAAGAAAAGGCGUCGGUUAAUACCUGGCGUUCUUGACGGUACCGGAAGAAUAAGCACCGGCUAACUACGUGCCAGCAGCCGCGGUAAUACGUAGGGUGCGAGCGUUAAUCGGAAUUACUGGGCGUAAAGCGUGCGCAGGCGGUUCGUGAAGUCCGAUGUGAAAGCCCUGGGCUUAACCUAGGAAUGGCAUUGGAAACUGGCGGGCUAGAGUGCGGCAGAGGGGGGUGGAAUUCCUGGUGUAGCAGUGAAAUGCGUAGAGAUCAGGAGGAACACCGAUGGCGAAGGCAGCCCCCUGGGUUGACACUGACGCUCAGGCACGAAAGCGUGGGGAGCAAACAGG
This 429-nucleotide ribosomal RNA is filed under the name uncultured beta proteobacterium. RNAcentral's name for it is "bacterial SSU rRNA". It matches the Rfam family "Bacterial small subunit ribosomal RNA", at positions 355 to 776 of the family's 1533-position model. Lineage: Bacteria; Pseudomonadati; Pseudomonadota; Betaproteobacteria. The record is from RNAcentral.